CGCCACCGUCCAGACUACUGUGACUGAGCCUGGCUGCUAUCACUGUGUAGCCAAACAGUUGGAAAAGUGGCAUCGGAUUUCUUCAGAGAUCUGUGUGCAUCAUGGGCUCCCUGAAUGGGCUGCCGCACUCAUCGGUGUUCUUGUUGUUUUAUUAUUGCUUUAGUGAUUGCCCUUGCAGUUACAGCAUACUGUUUGAAGAAAGAUUCACAAAGAAUGGAAAAUGGCCGCUCCUCAGAGCUGCACAGAAAUCUCACCUCUGAACAACCUUAAAA
Molecule: long non-coding RNA, 272 nt
Organism: Oreochromis aureus
Lineage: Eukaryota; Metazoa; Chordata; Actinopteri; Cichliformes; Cichlidae
Exons: 3
Source: RefSeq, a predicted model, not a curated record